GACGAACGCUGGCGGCGUGCCUAAUACAUGCAAGUUGAGCGCUGAAGGUUGGUACUUGUGCCAACUGGAUGAGCAGCGCACGGGUGAGUAACGCGUGGGGAAUCUGCCUUUGAGCGGGGGACAACAUUUGGAAACGAAUGCUAAUACCGCAUAAAAACUUUAAACACAAGUUUUAAGUUUGAAAGAUGCAAUUGCAUCACUCAAAGAUGAUCCCGCGUUGUAUUAGCUAGUCGGUGAGGUAAAGGCUCACCAAGGCGAUGAUACAUAGCCGACCUGAGAGGAUGGUCGGCCACAUUGGGAGUGAGACACGGCCCAAACGGCUACGGGAGGCAGCAGUAGGGAAACUUCGGCAAUGGACGAAAGUCUGACCGAGCAACGCCGCGUGAGGGAAGAAGGUUUUCGGAUCGUAAAACUCUGUUGGUAGAGAAGAACGUUGGUGAGAGUGGAAAGCUCAGCAAGUGACGGUAACUAGCCAGAAAGGGACGGCUAACUACGUG
RNAcentral lists this ribosomal RNA (497 nucleotides) under uncultured bacterium. Its description in RNAcentral is "partial 16S ribosomal RNA". It matches the Rfam family "Bacterial small subunit ribosomal RNA", at positions 28 to 507 of the family's 1533-position model. The record is from RNAcentral.